CUGACAGAGCAUUGCCACUGUCCUGGUCCUUUAGGAGAGGACUGUAUGCCUUUUGUGGGCCCAGGACAUGAGGUCAGGAUGGGAAACAACAUAAAGGGCAGCUAGCUGCAAGGCUUCAUGGGAGAAGGCACAGCAUGGAGAGACCUGGAUGCAGGGCAGCUGUCUCCAGAGCAAUGACAAUUUAGAAGAGAGUGAUCGACCAGGAAAUGAAUCCAAAGGCAAGAAAACCCAGGCAAAAAGGCAACGGCAUUUCCAGGAAGGACAAAGAUGCAAGAGGAAGGUCAAGCAAUGGAGAGAAAGAGAGAGAGAGAAUUCGGUGCCAAAAUUCUGAUGAGCAGGGUUGACUGCCAAUGGGAAAGAGGAUCCAGGAACCAAGCCUUCAGAGGCAGAGAGACAGGAAAAUCCCUGGAAACUUAAGGGCCAGCUACGCUGGAAUAGACAGAAGCAAAAACCAAGAAAGCAAACAAGGUGGACAGUGAGAAGCAACGUCCGAGGUUGUCCUUUGGCCUCCUCCACAAGCCUGUGUGCACGUGUACACAUACACAGAGAUUUAAACACGUAAAAGAAGAGAGCAUUCUCCAGAGGCUGGCAAGAACUAUCUCAACAGCGAAGAAGAGAUAAGUUUUAAAAGGCUAGGAUCCAACCUCGUUUCGGAACAUUCUAUAUCACACGAGGGAUACGCAGAGGAUGAGGUUCAAUUCAGAAUUAAAGUUCUGUCUUGUCGGGAGAAUAUGCUAAAUAACAACAU
Mus pahari (shrew mouse) is the source of this 748-nucleotide long non-coding RNA. RefSeq lists it as uncharacterized. Lineage: Eukaryota; Metazoa; Chordata; Mammalia; Rodentia; Muridae. The transcript is spliced from 4 exons. The record is from RefSeq and is a predicted model, not a curated record.